Lemur catta (Ring-tailed lemur) is the source of this 1686-nucleotide long non-coding RNA. RefSeq lists it as uncharacterized. NCBI's taxonomy places the organism in Eukaryota, Metazoa, Chordata, Mammalia, Primates, Lemuridae. The transcript has 2 exons. The record is from RefSeq and is a predicted model, not a curated record.
CUUGGGGAGGCCUCCAGUGGAGGCUGUCCCUGAAGGGGCCCUUCCUGGGACUCAGGCUGGCACUGAGCCGCUCACAGUCACAUCCCCACGCGUGUGCCGGCGCUGGCACCCACUCCACGUGGGGGCUGCCACGUGGCUCCACCAGAGCCAGGAAGGAGACGGCGGCCAUCCAACAGUGAGGACAGGCAGAUGGAGCGAGUGACUCAGCACGGGGGCAGAUGUGGUCAGAUGAGAAGAGUAAACACGAAGGCUGCAGGCCACACCUGCCACGGCCCCCUCAGAGCUGGGCAGGAAUGGUGGGGCCCGGUGGUGACAGAGCUGGGAGGCAGGGAUGGGGGAGAUGGAUGGCCCCACCAGGCUCGGCGGAGUGAGGACAGCCAGGCAGAUGGCCUCGUUAAAGAAACCAGGCGCGUGUGGGAGCCGGGCUCCAUGUGGGAGUAGGGGCCCUAGGGGGGCUCCUUCCUGGCUGGGGCUCCUCCCUGCCGGGCCGUUCCACCCAGGGCUGGGCUUGCCCUCGUUCUGCUCAAGUGGCCUUUCCCCUGGGUCUGUCCCAGGUGUAUUCAUUGCUGGGACCAGUGGCUCAGAAGCACGGGCCACAGCACGCGGCGUGGGAAGCCCCUGGCCCAGGACAGCCUCCCGUCCUCAUUGCCGACAGGACUAUCUUUUGAGCGCUUGCCACCCAGACAUGGUGCUGGGCCUGGGGGGGCAUCCCCCCACGUUGCAUGUGCUCUCCCUUCAACCUGGAGCCCCCCCCGUCCCCCCAUGCAGACUCUUCCUCAGCUAUCACCUCCUCCAAGAGGCCCUCCCUGACUACCACAUCUGAAGUGGCCCCAUCACUUCUCAGCCCAGGACUCUGUUUGGUUCGUCAAAUUCGUCCCAUCUGUCUCCUCACUGGCUUUGCUCCCUGCGGCAAUAGGACAGACAUCCUCCCGGACAGGCUGGGUCUGUCUUGUUCUUGGCUGCGUCCCAGGUCCUGGAACAAUGCCUGGCACAUAAUAGGCACUUCAUAAAUGCGUGUGGGCUCAACCUUCACAGCCUGGCGAGUGGGGGCUGGGGUCCUGGCCCUUCCGCCUCCCCCGCCCAGCUUGUUCUUCCUUCUGGAAAGUGGCGGGAAGAAGGCGACUUCGCUCUGCCUCACGUGCCACAACCCAUGAUGUCCCAGGAAGAGGACUGUCCAUCCACCCAGCACCUGCUGCCUGUGUUUGUGUCUACACCACUCUCCUUCCCUUGCUCUUCCUUCCUCAUAUGAGCAUGACAGCUCCUACAUAUUCUGCAAAUGCCCUUGCUGAAGAUCCUCCUCACGGCCUGGGUCACACUGAAUAGUUAGCUUUGUUUUGGCCUCUGCAGCACCAGGACUUCUGUGGACAGAGCUCCGACCCCUGGGGCCACAGACCAUACUGCCGCCUCCUGUCUGUGGCUCACAGCAGCCUGCAAGCUCCAUCCCUGAAAGGGGGACAUUCUUGGCCCCUGGCACUGAUCAAAACUGUGCUCUUUCUCCUUCCCUGAGGUGGGCAGGACCUCUGGUCUCAGCCACCCCCAGUCAUGCUCAUCCUGGGAGCCUCUCACAAGACAGGAGACUCUCGACUGAACACCAUGUUCUGAGUCCUCAUGUGUUAAAAAUGCAAGAAAUUCCCUCAAAGCUUUACAAAAACUGUGGUAAUUUAAAUGCUUACAUUUAACAAUUCA